GUCAAAAACUUUAAAAUGGUUUUAAACUUUUGAUGAGGUAAUAAUACCUCUGGGAAUUUAUCUUUAGGAAGUAAUUAUAGAUGCACACAAGGACCUAAAUACAAGGAUAUCCCUUGCAGUAUAAUUUACAAUACAACAAUACCAACAAGGAAAUCACCUAAAUGUUCUGUUGAUGGAAUGGGGCACACGGUGAGUGCAACACUAGGGAGCCAUUAGCAGUUUUCCUGUCAGAGAACUUUUAAUCACAUAAGAAAAUGCUGAAGGUUCACUGUAGUUGGAAAUGUGGCUAAAAACAUUUAGAAGGCUGUAUAAAUAUUAUAAAUUUAAUUUUGUUGGAAAAAUAGAUAAUUGAAUAGAAAUAUACUGAAAGGAAAUAUAUGUUAACCCUGGAUCACUGUGGACAGUAGGAUUUUGAGUGACUCAAGUUUUCAUGUAUAUGUUAAUAUA
This 447-nucleotide long non-coding RNA is filed under the name Marmota monax (woodchuck). The record is from RNAcentral. Lineage: Eukaryota; Metazoa; Chordata; Mammalia; Rodentia; Sciuridae.